RNAcentral lists this non-coding RNA (31 nucleotides) under Homo sapiens (human). Lineage: Eukaryota; Metazoa; Chordata; Mammalia; Primates; Hominidae. The record is from RNAcentral.
UGACAGUGAAUUUAGAAAGGAGGGCUCCAAU